UGGCAGGUAAGACAGCACUUGUGGAG
This 26-nucleotide non-coding RNA is filed under the name Homo sapiens (human). Lineage: Eukaryota; Metazoa; Chordata; Mammalia; Primates; Hominidae. The record is from RNAcentral.